GACAUGACUCCCGGCGACGGAUAUCUAGGCCCUCGCAUCGAUGAAGAACGCAGCGAAAUGCGAUAGUUGGUGUGAAUUGCAGAAUCCCGUGAAUCAUCGAGUCCUUGAACGCAAGUUGCGCCAGAAGUCGUCAGACUGAUGGCAUGUCUGCCUGGGCGUC
Molecule: ribosomal RNA, 160 nt
Filed under: Cymodocea nodosa
Lineage: Eukaryota; Viridiplantae; Streptophyta; Magnoliopsida; Alismatales; Cymodoceaceae
Description: 5.8S ribosomal RNA
Rfam family: 5.8S ribosomal RNA
About the family: 5.8S ribosomal RNA (5.8S rRNA) is a component of the large subunit of the eukaryotic ribosome.
Source: RNAcentral